AUUGAACGCUGGCGGCAUGCCUUACACAUGCAAGUCGAACGGUAACAGGUCUUCGGAUGCUGACGAGUGGCGAACGGGUGAGUAAUACAUCAGAACGUGCCCAGACGUGGGGGAUAACGAGGCGAAAGCUUUGCUAAUACCGCAUACGAUCUAAGGAUGAAAGCAGGGGACCGCAAGGCCUUGCGCGUUUGGAGCGGCCGAUGGCAGAUUAGGUAGUUGGUGGGAUAAAAGCUUACCAAGCCGACGAUCUGUAGCUGGUCUGAGAGGACGACCAGCCACACUGGGACUGAGACACGGCCCAGACUCCUACGGGAGGCAGCAGUGGGGAAUUUUGGACAAUGGGCGAAAGCCUGAUCCAGCAAUGCCGCGUGCAGGAUGAAGGCCUUCGGGUUGUAAACUGCUUUUGUACGGAACGAAAAGGCUCUGGCUAAUACCUGGGGCACAUGACGGUACCGUAAGAAUAAGCACCGGCUAACUACGUG
RNAcentral lists this ribosomal RNA (482 nucleotides) under uncultured bacterium. Its description in RNAcentral is "partial 16S ribosomal RNA". It matches the Rfam family "Bacterial small subunit ribosomal RNA", at positions 30 to 507 of the family's 1533-position model. The record is from RNAcentral.